Molecule: ribosomal RNA, 554 nt
Filed under: uncultured bacterium
Lineage: Bacteria
Description: partial 16S ribosomal RNA
Rfam family: Bacterial small subunit ribosomal RNA
Source: RNAcentral
UAGGGAAUCUUCCACAAUGGACGCGAGUCUGAUGGAGCAACGCCGCGUGAGUGAAGAAGGUCUUCGGAUCGUAAAGCUCUGUUGUUGGUGAAGAAGGAUAGAGGCAGUAACUGGUCUUUAUUUGACGGUAAUCAACCAGAAAGUCACGGCUAACUACGUGCCAGCAGCCGCGGUAAUACGUAGGUGGCAAGCGUUGUCCGGAUUUAUUGGGCGUAAAGCGAGCGCAGGCGGAAUGAUAAGUCUGAUGUGAAAGCCCACGGCUCAACCGUGGAACUGCAUCGGAAACUGUCAUUCUUGAGUGCAGAAGAGGAGAGUGGAACUCCAUGUGUAGCGGUGGAAUGCGUAGAUAUAUGGAAGAACACCAGUGGCGAAGGCGGCUCUCUGGUCUGCAACUGACGCUGAGGCUCGAAAGCAUGGGUAGCGAACAGGAUUAGAUACCCUGGUAGUCCAUGCCGUAAACGAUGAGCGCUAGGUGUUGGGGACUUUCCGGUCCUCAGUGCCGCAGCAAACGCAUUAAGCGCUCCGCCUGGGGAGUACGACCGCAAGGUUGAAAC